AAUAUCUUCCUUCACAUAUUUGAGAGCUGUAUUGUCCCAAUUAUUAUUUUGGAAUCAAGAGGAAUAAGAAAUAGAAACUUAGUUAAUAGUCUUUGGUUACAAAGUCUUUGAAAACUGGUUACAAAGACAAUGUGGAAUAUUUUGGGGGCAGUUACUUUUUAAAUUCUGAGAAAACUGCUACUUUGGCAAUUAUAUUUAAGUAUGUAACUUAAGAGUUUUAAGAAAAUGAUUUGCAUAAUCAUAUACUGUAACUGGAAACAGACAUGUGGAGUAGCAGAACGGGUUAUGUCUGAUUUUCCCUGGCAACAUUUUCAAAGGGACAUUAAACUUGAAGGUUCUGAAGCCUACAGGGGCAGGAUAGGCUGAUCUCCCGAACUUGACUUUGAGCCUUACUCUCUUAGUUCAGUUCUUUUCUUUUUCUGUUUUCUCUAAGUCUGCAGGAUCAACUAAAGGUUGUUAUUAGUGACAGAAUGUGUAGUUUGAAUAGUGUGCUAUUGAUAGUAUUGGGCAUCAGUUUGGAGAUUUCCAUUUUAAGUAACUCAUAGGUUAAUAUUCUCUGAGUGUAAUAAGGUAAAAUUGCCAUUUGUUUUUCUUAUCAGAAGAGAUGGUAUUGCAACUGGGUGGUGGCACACAUACCUGCAAUCCCAGCGACUGGGUAGGUUGAGACAGGAGGAUUGCAAGUUCGGGGCCAGCCUUAGCAACUUAGUGAGGAUCUGAGCAACAUAGUGAGACCCUGUCUCAAAAUUAAAAAGGACUGGGAAUUCUAGCUCAAUGAUUAAGUGCCCCUGGGUUCAAUCCCUGAUUUAAAAAAUAAUAAUAAUCAAACAAAAAUGAGUAUUUCAGACCCCAAACCUCUAUAAACACAGUAUGAGGAUCUACAGGUAAAUUGGGGCCUGGCAAUAUAUUUUGAAAACAAAUAUCAUUUUUUUUUUCUUUUACUUGAAAUACUGUGUCUUCCAGGAUUGCAACUAAGGUUUUCAGGCAUUUCUUGGGCAUGGUGGGAGAAGCCCUUGAGGGCAUCUUUUUGCAGAAAGCAAUCCUGGAAAAGCCAGUUCCUGAAGGGCAGGAUGUCAGUUCAAGGGCCCCAACAUACCUUGAACCCUGUGGGUUGGAGAUGAACUUGGAAACCGCUUCUCCUCCACCUGGUGGCACAGCAUGCACCUUGCUCAGCCAUAGGACAGCUAGUUUUUUGUUUUUUUUUUCUGAUUUUAUGUAUGUCUUUACAGACCUUCAGGGGGAAGUAAAUGAUCAGGUAUAAAAAUUAGUUAUAGUUUUUAAAUUGUAUGCACCACUAAGUUCCUAGUUUUACCCUACUCCAGCUUCUCUGACUCCACUGCUUUCUUGGUUUCUUAGUACAGAUGGUCCCAGCAGGCUAUGGUGGAAAUUUUUAGUGUUGUGAUGGGUUUAUUGAAGUGUUAAGUAUAUUUCUGACUUGCAAGAGUUUUGACUUAAAAUGGGCUUAUUGGGAUGUAACCCUAUCAUAAAUUGAGGCACAUCUGUAGCUUUGAGUCUUAAAGAAAUGGAGAUUUUAAGCUAAUAAUGAUGGGAGCUUUAAAAAAAAAUGUGUGUGUGUGUGUAUAUUUGUAGAUGGACAUAAUAUCUUUAUUUAUCUAUUUUUAUGUGUGCUGAGGAGUCGAACCCAGGGCCUCACACAUGCGAGGCAGGCACUCUACCACUGAGCUAGAGCCCCAGCCCAGGAG
This 1700-nucleotide long non-coding RNA is filed under the name Marmota monax (woodchuck). Lineage: Eukaryota; Metazoa; Chordata; Mammalia; Rodentia; Sciuridae. The record is from RNAcentral.